RNAcentral lists this ribosomal RNA (2003 nucleotides) under Eriauchenus sp. 3 HMW-2014. RNAcentral's name for it is "SSU rRNA". It matches the Rfam family "Eukaryotic small subunit ribosomal RNA". Lineage: Eukaryota; Metazoa; Arthropoda; Arachnida; Araneae; Archaeidae. The record is from RNAcentral.
UCUCAAAGAUUAAGCCAUGCAGGUCUCAGUACGGCCUCUAGCGAAAAGGCGAAACCGCGAAUGGCUCAUUAAAUCAGUUAUGGUUCCUUAGAGCUUACGUUGUCUUACUUGGAUAACCGUGGUAAUUCUAGAGCUAAUACAUGCACCGAAGCUCCGACCCUCGGGAACGAGCGCUUUUAUUAGACCGCAACGACCGUAUCCGCUGCGUGCCGGGCCUCGUGCUUCGGCCGCGGACGUGUUUGCGUGGUGACUCUGGAUAACUCUGCCGAUCGGCCGGCGAUCCCCGAGAGGGGGUCCAGUCCGGCCGACGCACCUUUCAAGUGUCUGCCUUAUCAACUGUCGACGGUAGGUUAAAUGCCUACCGUGGUAGUAACGGGUGACGGGGAAUCAGGGUUCGAUUCCGGAGAGGAAGCCUGAGAAACGGCUACCACAUCCAAGGAAGGCAGCAGGCUCGCAAAUUACCCACUCCCGGCACGGGGAGGUAGUGACGAAAAAUAACGAUGCGGGACUCGGUCGAGACCCCGCCAUCGGAAUGAGUACACUCUAAAUCCUUUAACGAGGAUCCACCGGAGGGCAAGUCUGGUGCCAGCAGCUGCGGUAAUUCCAGCUCCGGUAGCAUAUGCUAAAGUUGCUGCGGUUAAAAAGCUCGUAGUUGGAUCUCAGUCUCGGCCGCUCGGUCUCGCCCGUGUUGGCGGGUCUCGCGGCGGCCGGUCAGAAUGUCGGCCGCCCGGGAUGAUCUUGACCGGUUGUCUCGGAACGGCCGGCGAGUUUACUUUGAAAAAAUCAGAGUGCUCAGAGCGGGCGUUAUCCGCCCGAACGCCCGUGCAUGGAAUAAUGGAAGAUGACCUCGGUUCAAGUCCGUUGGUCCACGAACCCUGAGGUAAUGAUUAAGAGGAACGGCCGGGGGCGAUCGUACCGCGACGCUAGAGGUGAAAUUCUUGGACCGUCGCGUGACGCACCACAGCGAAAGCAUUCGUCAAGAACGCUUCCGUUAAUCAAGAACGAAAGUCAGAGGUUCGAAGGCGAUCAGAUACCGCCCUAGUUCUGACCAUAAACGAUGCCGACCAGCGAUCGGGCUGCGCUCGCCACGACGAGGCGCCCGGAAGCUUUCCGGGAAACCAGAGUCUCUGGGUUCCGGGGGAAGUAUGGUUGCAAAGCUUAAACUUAAAGGCAUUGACGGAAGGGCACCACCAGGCAUGGGGCAUGCGGCUCAAUUUGACUCAACACGGGAAAACUCACCCGGCCCGGACACGGGAAGGAUUGACAGACUGAUUGCUCUUUCUUGAUUCUGUGGGUGGUGGUGCAUGGCCGUUCUUAGUUGGUGGAGCGAUUUGUCUGGUUGAUUCCGAUAACGAACGAGACUCUAGCCUGCUAAAUAGCGAGGUUUUGGCAAGCGGGGUUUUCGCGUCGCCUUUCGCGUUCCGUGCGAGGCUGGCGUUCUCCGCCUUCUUUCGUUUCCGUUCGGGUCCCUUUUCGGGGGGGCACGUUUCGGUGCGGAGGUCGGUGUGGGUUCGCUCUGUCCGCGGUUCGUCGGAGGGGGCCGAGAACUUCGUAAACCUCCGGUAUCUCUUCUUAGAGGGACAAGCGACGCAUUAAAGUCGCGCGAGGAAGAGCGAUAACAGGUCUGUGAUGCCCUUAGAUGUCCGGGGCCGCACGCGCGCCACACUGACGCCCACAGCGUGCGCGCUCGCCCGGUCCGACAGGAUCGGGGAACCCCUUCAACGGACGUCGUGAUGGGGACAGGGGAUUGUAAUUAUUCCCCUCGAACGAGGAAUUCCCAGUAAGCGCGAGUCACUAGCUCGCGUUGAUUACGUCCCUGCCCUUUGUACACACCGCCCGUCGCUACUACUGAUUGAACGGUGCGGUGAGGUCCUCGGACUGGCUUACGCUGGAGGGACCCUGGCUCGUUCCGUCUCGGCGGUCGAGUUAUUUCCCGAUGCGGUAGCCGGAAAGUCGAUCGAACCGUAUCGUUUAGAGGAAGUAAAAGUCGUAACAAGGUUUCC